This 387-nucleotide RNase P RNA is filed under the name Muribaculaceae bacterium. RNAcentral describes it as "partial RNase P RNA component class A". It matches the Rfam family "Bacterial RNase P class A", at positions 38 to 367 of the family's 367-position model. From Rfam's summary of the family: Ribonuclease P (RNase P) is a ubiquitous endoribonuclease, found in archaea, bacteria and eukarya as well as chloroplasts and mitochondria. The record is from RNAcentral. Lineage: Bacteria; Pseudomonadati; Bacteroidota; Bacteroidia; Bacteroidales; Muribaculaceae.
GGCCGGAGGAAAGUCCGGGCAACAUAGAGCACCAUACUUGUUAGCGGAAAGCAGCGGGCGACCGCUGAGACAACGUGACAGGAAACAUCCGGCAACGUCAGGGCGCCCCCGAUGCCGCAACGCAUCGCCGGCCCCUGUCACGGCAAGGGUGAAAAGGCGGGGUAAGAGCCCACCGGGCGCCACCGCGAGAUGGCGCGCCGCACGUCUGAUGGGUUGCAAGGUCAAGUAUACCGGCAUUUAAGGGCUGCUCGUCCAUUGCCGGGGGGUAGACUGCUGCCGCCCCAGCGCGGUUAGCGACCGUGGCAACACGGCGUAGAGAUAAAUGACAGACCGGCACAGCUCCAAGGCGCGUGCCGACAUAACCCGGCUUAUAGCCAGACUGCAAUC